RNAcentral lists this ribosomal RNA (372 nucleotides) under uncultured organism. RNAcentral describes it as "bacterial SSU rRNA". It matches the Rfam family "Bacterial small subunit ribosomal RNA", at positions 526 to 896 of the family's 1533-position model. The record is from RNAcentral.
CGGGGGGGGCAAGCGUUGUUCGGAAUUACUGGGCGUAAAGGGCGCGUAGGCGGCCUGCUAAGUCGGACGUGAAAUCCCUCGGCUCAACCGGGGAACUGCGUCCGAUACUGGUGGGCUCGAAUCCGGGAGAGGGAUGUGGAAUUCCAGGUGUAGCGGUGAAAUGCGUAGAUAUCUGGAGGAACACCGGUGGCGAAGGCGGCAUCCUGGACCGGUAUUGACGCUGAUGCGCGAAAGCCAGGGGAGCAAACGGGAUUAGAUACCCCGGUAGUCCUGGCCCUAAACGAUGAGUGCUUGGUGUGGCGGGUAUCGAUCCCUGCCGUGCCGAAGCUAACGCAUUAAGCACUCCGCCUGGGGAGUACGGUCGCAAGGCUG